GAUGAAGAACGUAGCGAAAUGCGAUAAGUAAUGUGAAUUGCAGAAUUCCGUGAAUCAUCGAAUCUUUGAACGCAUAUUGCGCCCUCUGGUAUUCCGGAGGGCAUGCCUGUCCGAGCGUCAUUGCAACCUUCAAGCGCGGCUUGUGUGUUGGGUCUCGUCCCCCGUGGACGGGCCCGAAAGGCAGUGGCGGCGUCCCGACAUGGUGCCCGAGCGUAUGGGAAUCCUCUUCCGCUCGAAUCGGCCCAUGCGGCGCUGGUCGUAACCAAAUUUUUUACCGGUUGACCUCGGAUCAGGUAGGGAUACCCGCUGAACUUAAGCAUAUCAAUAAGCGGAGGA
RNAcentral lists this unclassified non-coding RNA (336 nucleotides) under soil metagenome. RNAcentral describes it as "partial contains 5.8S ribosomal RNA, internal transcribed spacer 2, and large subunit ribosomal RNA". The stretch from base 1 to 120 matches the Rfam family "5.8S ribosomal RNA", at positions 35 to 154 of the family's 154-position model. The record is from RNAcentral.